AUGAAUUCGGCAAUUCUAAUUUAUAACUGUUUAUCAAAAACAUUUCUUUUAGAAUUUUAUUAAAGGUAAUUUCUGCUCAGUGAUUUAUAUUAAAUAGCUGCAGUAUAUUGACUGUACAAAGGUAGCAUAAUAAUUAGUUUCUUAAUUGGUAACUGGAAUGAAUGAAUUAAUAAUAUAUUGACUUUAUAAAUUUUAAAUUUAGAAUUUUAUUUUUAGGUAAAAAAGCUUAAUUUUUUUAUAGGGACGAGAAGACCCUAUAGAACUUUAUUUUAAUUAGUUUUAAAUUAUUAUUUAGUUAAUUUUUUUUUUAUUUUUAGUUAAUUUUUUGUUGGGGUGACAGUUAAAUUUAAACUUUAAUUAUUUUUUUCAUUAUAUUUAUGAUUCAUUAGAUCCAUUUAAAUGACUACAAGUUUUAGUUACCUUAGGGAUAACAGCGUAAUUUUUAUGGGGAGUUCAUAUUUAUAUAAAAGUUUGCGACCUCGAUGUUGAAUUAAGGAUUUUAUGAGGGGCAGGUUUUUCAUAUUUUAGUCUGUUCGACUAUUUAAAUCUUACAUGAUUUGAGUUCAAACCGGUGUGAGCCAGGUUGGUUUCUAUCUUAUAAUUUUUAUAUCUUUUUAGUACGAAAGGACCUUAAGGU
RNAcentral lists this ribosomal RNA (637 nucleotides) under Cyphonia clavata. Its description in RNAcentral is "16S ribosomal RNA". The stretch from base 427 to 585 matches the Rfam family "Bacterial large subunit ribosomal RNA", at positions 2473 to 2632 of the family's 2925-position model. The record is from RNAcentral. Lineage: Eukaryota; Metazoa; Arthropoda; Insecta; Hemiptera; Membracidae.